Molecule: ribosomal RNA, 1780 nt
Filed under: Durio zibethinus
Lineage: Eukaryota; Viridiplantae; Streptophyta; Magnoliopsida; Malvales; Malvaceae
Description: SSU rRNA
Rfam family: Eukaryotic small subunit ribosomal RNA
Source: RNAcentral
GACCUAUUGAUGCCUGUCCACCUACACACAACAUGUGCCUAGGAGUAGCUCAUUUUAGACUAGCUAGGCACUUGUCUACCCCUACCCAAAGGGGUGGUGGAGAACUAACACUAGUCAUCCCCCUCUAAAGAGUGUAAAAGCUUUCCCAGCUAUCUUACCAGGAACCAUAUGUUUGGAAGGGAUGCAUUUGUUAGAUAAAAGGUCGAUGUAGGCUUUGCUCAUUGCUAUGAUGAUUCAUGAUAACUUGACGGAUCACAUAGCCUUUGUACCGAUCAUGGAUCAUUCAAAUUUUUGCCCUAUCAACUUUUGAUGGUAGGAUAGUGGCCUACUAUGGUGGUAAUGGAUGAUGGAGAAUUAGGGUUUGAUUCCAAUGAGAGAGCCUAAGAAGUAGCUAUGACAUCCAAGGAUGGUAGCAAGUGCACAAAUUACCCAAUCCUGACAUGGGAAGGUAGUGACAAUAAAUAACAAUAUCAGGCUCUGUGAGUUUGGUAAUUGGAAUGAGUACAAUUUAAAUCCCUUAAUGAUGAUCCAUUGAAAGGCAAGUCUGGUGCCAGUAGCCACGAUAAUUCUAGCUCUAAUAACAUAUAUUUAAGUUACCGCAAUUAAAAGGCUCAUAGUUGGAACUAGGGUUCUAUUGUCUAAUAUGCCUCACGGUGAGCACCAAUCUACUUGUCCUUAUUGCCAAUGAUGCACUCCAACCCUUAACUGGCCAGGUCAUUCCUUUGGUGAUGUUGCUUUGAAGAAACUAGAGUUUUCAAAGCAGGCCUAGGCUUAUUUACAAUAGCAUGGGAUAACAUCAUAGGAUUUGAAUCCUAUUGUGUUAGCUUUUAGGUCAAAGUAAUGAUUAAAAAAAAUAGUCAAGGGCAUUCGUAUUUCUUAGUUAGAGGUGAAAUUCUUGGAUUUAUGAAAGAUAAACAACUAUGAAAUCAUUUGCUAAGAAUGUUUUCAUUAAUCAAGAAUGAAAGUUGAGGGUCAAAGACAAUUAGAUAUCAUCCUAGUCUCAACCAUAAAUGAUACAAACUAGUGAUCAACAAAAGUUACUUUUAGAACUCUAUCGGCACCUUAUAAGAAAUCAAAGUCUUUGGGUUCCUAGGGGAGUAUGGCUAUAAGGCUGAAACUUAAAGAAAUUGAUGGAAAGGCACCACCAAAAGUGGAGCCUACGGCUUAAUUUGACUCAACAUAAGGAAACUUACCAAGUCUAGACAUAGUAAGGAUUGAUAGGCUGAAAGCACUUUCUUGAUUCUAUAAGUGGUGGUGCAUGGCUAUUCUUAGGUGGUAGAGCAAUUUUUCUGGUUAAUUCCAUUAACAAAUAAGACCUCAACUUGCUAACUAGCUACACGGAUGUAAUCCUUCGUGGCUUGCUUUUUAAAGGGAUUAUAGCCACUUAGGCCAAGAAAGUUUGAGGCAAUAACAAGACUGUGAUACCUUUAGAUGUUUUAAGACACAUGCAUGCUACAUUGAUGUAUUCAAUAAGUCUAUAGCCUUGUUCGAUAGGCCUAGGUAAUCUAUGAAAUUUCAUCAUAAUGAGGAUAGAUCAUUGCAAUUGUUGGUCUUCAAUAAGGAAUUCCUAGUAAGCAUGAGUCAAUAGCUCAUGUUGACAUGUCCCUGCCUUUUGUACACACCCCCUAUUGCUCCUACCAAUUGAAUGGUCAGGUAAAGUGUUCAAAUUGUAGUAACAUGGACAGUUCAUUGCCUAUGAUGCAGCGAGAAGUCCACUGGACCUUUUCAUUUAGAGGAAGGAAAAGUUGUAAUAAGGUCUCUAUAAGUGAACCUGUAAAAG